GAAGCCGGCCGGAUCGUCGCCGCCCCGAGCAAUCGGGGGGGAGGAAAGUCCGGGCUCCGCAGGGCAGGAUGCCGGCUAACGGCCGGGCGCCGUGAGGCGACGGAAAGUGCAACAGAGAGCUGAACCGCCGAUGGCGUGAGCUGACGGGCCGAUUGAAGCGGCCUCGAUCGCGUACAGGCAAGGGUGAAAAGGUGUUCCCGUCGGGGAAGCCCCGCAAGGGGUCGGUAAGAGCGCACCGUGGCGCUGGUAACAGUCGCCGGCAGGGUAAACCCCAUCCGGAGCAAGACCAAGCAGCAGGCGUUGAGACGGCCCGUCGAGUCUGCGGGUAGGUUGCUGGAGUGCAGUGGUAACGCUGUGCCUAGAGGAAUGGCGGUCGCGUGCGGUUCGCCGCGCGUACAGAACCCGGCUUACAGGCCGGCUUCGCAC
This 426-nucleotide RNase P RNA is filed under the name Jeongeupia naejangsanensis. RNAcentral's name for it is "RNase P RNA component class A". It matches the Rfam family "Bacterial RNase P class A". Rfam says of the family: Ribonuclease P (RNase P) is a ubiquitous endoribonuclease, found in archaea, bacteria and eukarya as well as chloroplasts and mitochondria. Its best characterised activity is the generation of mature 5'-ends of tRNAs by cleaving the 5'-leader elements of precursor-tRNAs. Lineage: Bacteria; Pseudomonadati; Pseudomonadota; Betaproteobacteria; Neisseriales; Chitinibacteraceae. The record is from RNAcentral.